Notothenia coriiceps (black rockcod) is the source of this 392-nucleotide long non-coding RNA. RefSeq lists it as uncharacterized. The record is from RefSeq and is a predicted model, not a curated record. Lineage: Eukaryota; Metazoa; Chordata; Actinopteri; Perciformes; Nototheniidae. The transcript has 4 exons.
CACAGGACAGAAAACACUUUGUGACAAGUGGAGAUGACAAGCUGGUGAAGGUGUGGGACUACAUGGAAGGUACGGUAACCCAUGUAGGAAUAGCUCACAGUGGCAGCAUCACCAGCAUCAAGGUCUGCUCCAACAACCGCACCCUGGUCAGCACCAGCGCAGACGGAGCCAUUCUGAGAUGGAGGUUCCCUCACCCUGCUUCCUCUUAAUGUGACAUGUGGAGUCCUGGAAACUACGCGUUCUACUUUGAUUCCAGGAACACUCGUACUCAUAUGAUCCGACAUUUUCCCAUUAUUGUUCCUCUUAGCAAAUAUUUCUAGGAGAGUUCUGACAUUAACAUUUCAGAAAAGGUUUAAACCCAGACCAAAGGAAAUAAAGGUAAUUUGAUUUAG